This 21-nucleotide non-coding RNA is filed under the name Arabidopsis thaliana (thale cress). The record is from RNAcentral. Lineage: Eukaryota; Viridiplantae; Streptophyta; Magnoliopsida; Brassicales; Brassicaceae.
CGCACGCGCGCUACACUGAUG